This 459-nucleotide ribosomal RNA is filed under the name uncultured bacterium. Its description in RNAcentral is "partial 16S ribosomal RNA". It matches the Rfam family "Bacterial small subunit ribosomal RNA", at positions 338 to 795 of the family's 1533-position model. The record is from RNAcentral.
CCUACGUGUGGCAGCAGUGAGGAAUAUUGGUCAAUGGGCGUAAGCCUGAACCAGCCAAGUCGCGUGAGGGAUGAAGGUUCUAUGGAUCGUAAACCUCUUUUAUAAGGGAACAAAGGCGGGGACGUGUCCCCGGAUGAGUGUACCUGAAGAAAAAGCAUCGGCUAAAUCCGUGCCAGCAGCCGCGGUAAUACGGGGGAUGCGAGCGUUAUCCGGAUUUAUGGGGGUAAAAGGGGGCGAAGGCGGGCUGUAAAGUCAGCGGUCAAAGCCCGGGGCUCAACCCCGGACCGCCGUUGAAACUGGCAGUCUCGAGUUGGCGAGAAGUAUGCGGAAUGCGCGGUGUAGCGGUGAAAUGCAUAGAUAUCGCGCAGAACCCCGAUUGCGAAGGCAGCAUGCCGGCUCCACACUGACGCUGAGGCACGAAAGCGUGGGGAUCGAACAGGAUUAGAUACCCGGGUAGUC